AGUGAACGCUGGCGGUAGGCCUAACACAUGCAAGUCGAACGGCAGCACAGUAAGAGCUUGCUCUUACGGGUGGCGAGUGGCGGACGGGUGAGGAAUACAUCGGAAUCUACUUUUUCGUGGGGGAUAACGUAGGGAAACUUACGCUAAUACCGCAUACGACCUACGGGUGAAAGCAGGGGAUCUUCGGACCUUGCGCGAUUGAAUGAGCCGAUGUCGGAUUAGCUAGUUGGCGGGGUAAAGGCCCACCAAGGCGACGAUCCGUAGCUGGUCUGAGAGGAUGAUAGGCCACACUGGAACUGAGACACGGUCCAGACUCCUACGGGAGGCAGCAGUGGGGAAUAUUGGACAAUGGGCGCAAGCCUGAUCCAGCCAUACCGCGUGGGUGAAGAAGGCCUUCGGGUUGUAAAGCCCUUUUGUUGGGAAAGAAAAGCAGCAGGUUAACACCCCGCUGUUCUGACGGUACCCAAAGAAUAAGCACCGGCUAACUUCGUG
Molecule: ribosomal RNA, 492 nt
Filed under: uncultured bacterium
Lineage: Bacteria
Description: partial 16S ribosomal RNA
Rfam family: Bacterial small subunit ribosomal RNA
Source: RNAcentral